CCGUAGCCAUUUGCCUCAAG
Molecule: small RNA, 20 nt
Filed under: Karenia brevis
Lineage: Eukaryota; Dinophyceae; Gymnodiniales; Kareniaceae
Description: trans-spliced leader sequence SL
Source: RNAcentral